Dreissena polymorpha is the source of this 262-nucleotide long non-coding RNA. RefSeq lists it as uncharacterized. The transcript is spliced from 2 exons. The record is from RefSeq and is a predicted model, not a curated record. Lineage: Eukaryota; Metazoa; Mollusca; Bivalvia; Myida; Dreissenidae.
UCAAAAACUAGGUCAAAUAGUAGAAAAACCUCGUGUAGACAGUAGAGGUCACAGUUUUUAUCCAAUCUUUAUGAAAUUUGGUCAGAAUGUUUAUCUUGAUUAAAUCUGGGUUGGGAUUGUAUUUGGGUCAUCUGGGGUCAAAAACUAGGUCACUAGGUCAAAUAAUAGAAAAACCUUGUGUAGACAAUAGAGGUCACAGUUUUCAUCCAAUCUUUAUAAAAUUUGAUCAGAAUGUUUAUCUUGAUGAAAUCUGGGUUGGGAU